GGGUGAGUAUGCCUGGGAAAUUGCCCUGAUGUGGGGGAUAACUAUUGGAAACGAUAGCUAAUACCGCAUAACGUCUACGGACCAAAGAGGGGGACCUUCGGGCCUCUCGCUUCAGGAUAUGCCCAGGUGGGAUUAGCUAGUUGGUGAGGUAAUGGCUCACCAAGGCGACGAUCCCUAGCUGGUCUGAGAGGAUGAUCAGCCACACUGGAACUGAGACACGGUCCAGACUCCUACGGGAGGCAGCAGUGGGGAAUAUUGCACAAUGGGCGCAAGCCUGAUGCAGCCAUGCCGCGUGUAUGAAGAAGGCCUUCGGGUUGUAAAGUACUUUCAGUCGUGAGGAAGGCGAUAUAGUUAAUAGCUAUAUCGUUUGACGUUAGCGACAGAAGAAGCACCGGCUAACUCCGUGCCAGCAGCCGCGGUAAUACGGAGGGUGCGAGCGUUAAUCGGAAUUACUGGGCGU
This 460-nucleotide ribosomal RNA is filed under the name Vibrio sp. ini28. RNAcentral's name for it is "bacterial SSU rRNA". It matches the Rfam family "Bacterial small subunit ribosomal RNA", at positions 104 to 561 of the family's 1533-position model. The record is from RNAcentral. Lineage: Bacteria; Pseudomonadati; Pseudomonadota; Gammaproteobacteria; Vibrionales; Vibrionaceae.